CCCUUAGAUGUUCUGGGCAGCACGCGCGCUACAAUGGUCUUCGCAAACGGAUGCAUUCUCGAAGGAGAAUGCCAAUCUUGGAAUCUAUGCCUUGGUCGGGACAGUUGCUUGCAAUUUUUCGACUCGAACCAGGAAUUCCUUGUAAUCGUGAUUCAUCACAUCACGAUGAAUCCGUCCCUGCCCUUUGUACACACCGCCCGUCGCUCCUACCGAUCGAAGAGUUAGGUGAAUUGUUUUGAUCGAUAAGAUUUGACUAUGGUCAACUCUCGUUGUGAAAUUCUGUGAAUCUGACUGUUUAGAGGAAGGAAAAGUCGUAACA
This 319-nucleotide ribosomal RNA is filed under the name uncultured eukaryote. Its description in RNAcentral is "partial 18S ribosomal RNA". It matches the Rfam family "Eukaryotic small subunit ribosomal RNA", at positions 1470 to 1796 of the family's 1831-position model. The record is from RNAcentral.